GAUGAACGCUGGCGGCGUGCCUAAUACAUGCAAGUCGAGCGAACGGACGAGAAGCUUGCUUCUCUGAUGUUAGCGGCGGACGGGUGAGUAACACGUGGAUAACCUACCUAUAAGACUGGGAUAACUUCGGGAAACCGGAGCUAAUACCGGAUGAUAUUUUGAACCGCAUGGUUCAAAAGUGAAAGACGGUCUUGCUGUCACUUAUAGAUGGAUCCGCGCUGCAUUAGCUAGUUGGUAAGGUAACGGCUUACCAAGGCAACGAUGCAUAGCCGACCUGAGAGGGUGAUCGGCCACACUGGAACUGAGACACGGUCCAGACUCCUACGGGAGGCAGCAGUAGGGAAUCUUCCGCAAUGGGCGAAAGCCUGACGGAGCAACGCCGCGUGAGUGAUGAAGGUCUUCGGAUCGUAAAACUCUGUUAUUAGGGAAGAACAUAUGUGUAAGUAACUGUGCACAUCUUGACGGUACCUAAUCAGAAAGCCACGGCUAACUACGUGCCAGCAGCCGCGGUAAUACGUAGGUGGCAAGCGUUAUCCGGAAUUAUUGGGCGUAAAGCGCGCGUAGGCGGUUUUUUAAGUCUGAUGUGAAAGCCCACGGCUCAACCGUGGAGGGUCAUUGGAAACUGGAAAACUUGAGUGCAGAAGAGGAAAGUGGAAUUCCAUGUGUAGCGGUGAAAUGCGCAGAGAUAUGGAGGAACACCAGUGGCGAAGGCGACUUUCUGGUCUGUAACUGACGCUGAUGUGCGAAAGCGUGGGGAUCAAACAGGAUUAGAUACCCCGGUAGUCCACGCCGUAAACGAUGAGUGCUAAGUGUUAGGGGGUUUCCGCCCCUUAGUGCUGCAGCUAACGCAUUAAGCACUCCGCCUGGGGAGUACGACCGCAAGGUUGAAACUCAAAGGAAUUGACGGGGACCCGCACAAGCGGUGGAGCAUGUGGUUUAAUUCGAAGCAACGCGAAGAACCUUACCAAAUCUUGACAUCCUUUGACAACUCUAGAGAUAGAGCCUUCCCCUUCGGGGGACAAAGUGACAGGUGGCGCAUGGUUGUCGUCAGCUCGUGUCGUGAGAUGUUGGGUUAAGUCCCGCAACGAGCGCAACCCUUAAGCUUAGUUGCCAUCAUUAAGUUGGGCACUCUAAGUUGACUGCCGGUGACAAACCGGAGGAAGGUGGGGAUGACGUCAAAUCAUCAUGCCCCUUAUGAUUUGGGCUACACACGUGCUACAAUGGACAAUACAAAGGGCAGCGAAACCGCGAGGUCAAGCAAAUCCCAUAAAGUUGUUCUCAGUUCGGAUUGUAGUCUGCAACUCGACUACAUGAAGCUGGAAUCGCUAGUAAUCGUAGAUCAGCAUGCUACGGUGAAUACGUUCCCGGGUCU
This 1372-nucleotide ribosomal RNA is filed under the name uncultured bacterium. RNAcentral describes it as "bacterial SSU rRNA". It matches the Rfam family "Bacterial small subunit ribosomal RNA", at positions 28 to 1381 of the family's 1533-position model. The record is from RNAcentral.